This 940-nucleotide long non-coding RNA is filed under the name Anser cygnoides (Swan goose). RNAcentral describes it as "lncRNA (ENSACDG00005011455.1)". The record is from RNAcentral. Lineage: Eukaryota; Metazoa; Chordata; Aves; Anseriformes; Anatidae.
AUGAUAUCCAACUUCUGGCUGAUAUCCAAGUGUAUUACCAGAAUUACAUGCUCAGAUGGGCCUUCCUCCGUGCUCAUGAUGAAGGAUCAAAAUACGUGGCUUCCUUGUCUCAAAGGCAAACCCUGGAGAUACCAAUAUAGGGAUCUUAUAGUUCCCUGUAUAGUGGAGGCCUGAUGUGGAGUUGAAGCUGGUAUGAAGAAAGUAGGUCUGCUGAGGAAGUCUGGAGAUUUGGUCUCAAGCUAGGCCUAGCUUCCCUGAAACAUUCAUGCAGCUGUGUUAUUUCUCUGUUGUUGUUAUAAACAGGUUUUUAAUGUCCCUGGUAAUCACUGAACUUCUUGAAUUUUGGCCAACAUACCAAACUCAAAGCCCUCCAAAUGGCUGCUUCUGCCAAGCUUUACACAUUAUGGCAUUUUAGGUAAUACUACGUUUCAGCAGCUUAGGCUGAGUUAUUGGGUGAGUUCAGUGUCCAAGAGGAAAAAACAAAACACACAAUUCCAUUCAAGUCCAUGAAAAAUUUUAUUCUUGGAAGGUGUUGGAUACUGGCAACAUAAAAUAUAUGAAACUACAGUAAAAAUCUAUUUAAAAUGAAUACCAUAACCUGAUUUUCUUGUUCUUUUGCUUAUAAAUAAUGCAAUGGAUUUAGUAGGUAUAUUUAUUUAGAUAGCAAAGUACAGACAAGUAUGACAUCCCAUAGAGAAAAACUUUGUAAAUAAGCAACAAAUACUGUGGUUCUAAUUUGUUUGAAAUGAUGGUGUUUUAACUAAGUAGGAUAUAUAUAUAUAUAUAUAUAUAUAUAUGAGUUGCUUGUACAUAAGUUGCGUAGUAUAGAAGGAAUGUGCACUCUAGGGAAUAAGUAGGGGCUUAAACAUACUGGACUAAGUGUCAUAUUCUUGUUUUGUUUGUUUAAAAACAAAUAAAAAACACAAAAACAUCUACUGCA